CCACCGUGGAUACCCAGAGAGGUCCCUCUCCCCGGGCUUUGUCCAGGUGGCACAGGGGAGCAAAGGGCUCUGCCCAGUGAUGCACAAUCUGAUUCCACGACAUUGAAGAGGAAGCCAGGCCCUGAGCUGCACCAACUUUGCAGAGUCCUAAGGACAAUGCCUGAGGAGAUGAGUCACUUUAAAAAU
Molecule: small nucleolar RNA, 186 nt
Organism: Dasypus novemcinctus (nine-banded armadillo)
Lineage: Eukaryota; Metazoa; Chordata; Mammalia; Cingulata; Dasypodidae
Gene: SNORA73
Rfam family: Small nucleolar RNA SNORA73 family
About the family: U17 (SNORA73A and SNORA73B) also known as E1 belongs to the H/ACA class of small nucleolar RNAs (snoRNAs). Vertebrate U17 is intron-encoded and ranges in length from 200-230 nucleotides, longer than most snoRNAs.
Source: Ensembl